UGAGGAAUAUUGGUCAAUGGGCGAGAGCCUGAACCAGCCAAGUCGCGUGAAGGAAGACUGCCUUAUGGGUUGUAAACUUCUUUUAUACAGGAAUAAAAAGGCUUACGUGUAGGCCAUUGCAAGUACUGUAUGAAUAAGCAUCGGCUAACUCCGUGCCAGCAGCCGCGGUAAUACGGAGGAUGCGAGCGUUAUCCGGAUUUAUUGGGUUUAAAGGGUGCGCAGGCGGGCUUUUAAGUCAGCGGUGAAAUCUGGACGCUUAACGUCCAAACUGCCGUUGAAACUGGGAGUCUUGAGUAUGGAUGAAGUAGGCGGAAUUCGUUGUGUAGCGGUGACAUGCAUAGAUAUAACGAGGAACUCCGAUUGCGUAGGCAGCUUACUAAGCCAUAACUGACGCUCAUGCACGAAAGCGUGGGGAUCAAACAGGAUUAGAUACCCUGGUAGUCCACGCCGUAAAACGAUGAUUACUAGUUGUAUGCGAUAUGAUAGUAUGUGACUAAGCGAAAGCGAUAAGUAAUCCACCUGGGGAGUACGCCGGCAACGGUGAAACUCAAAGGAAUUGACGGGGUCAUAGCUGUUUCCUG
RNAcentral lists this ribosomal RNA (581 nucleotides) under uncultured bacterium. RNAcentral describes it as "partial 16S ribosomal RNA". It matches the Rfam family "Bacterial small subunit ribosomal RNA", at positions 355 to 1376 of the family's 1533-position model. The record is from RNAcentral.